CCUACGGGAGGCAGCAGUGGGGAAUAUUGGGCAAUGGGCGCAAGCCUGACCCAGCAACGCCGCGUGAAGGAAGAAGGCUUUCGGGUUGUAAACCUCUUUUCUCAGGGACGAAGAAAGUGACGGUACCUGAGGAAUAAGUCACGGCUAACUACGUGCCAGCAGCCGCGGCAAUACGUAGGUGGCAAGCGUUAUCCGGAUUUACUGGGUGUAAAGGGUGUGUAGGCGGGACUGCAAGUCAGGUGUGAAAACCAUGGGCUCAACCUGUAGACUGCAUUUGAUACUGUAGUUCUUGAGUACUGGGGAGGCAGACGGAAUUCGUGGUGUAGCGGUGAAAUGCGUAGAUAUUAGGAAGAACACCGAUGGCGAAGGCAGUCUACUAGACAGCAACUGACGCUGAGGCGCGAAAGCGUGGGGAGCAAACAGGAUUAGAUACCCGUGUAGUC
RNAcentral lists this ribosomal RNA (443 nucleotides) under uncultured bacterium. RNAcentral describes it as "partial 16S ribosomal RNA". It matches the Rfam family "Bacterial small subunit ribosomal RNA", at positions 338 to 795 of the family's 1533-position model. The record is from RNAcentral.